RNAcentral lists this ribosomal RNA (2933 nucleotides) under Escherichia coli. RNAcentral's name for it is "bacterial LSU rRNA". It matches the Rfam family "Bacterial large subunit ribosomal RNA". The record is from RNAcentral. Lineage: Bacteria; Pseudomonadati; Pseudomonadota; Gammaproteobacteria; Enterobacterales; Enterobacteriaceae.
GGGUUGUGAGGUUAAGCGACUAAGCGUACACGGUGGAUGCCCUGGCAGUCAGAGGCGAUGAAGGACGUGCUAAUCUGCGAUAAGCGUCGGUAAGGUGAUAUGAACCGUUAUAACCGGCGAUUUCCGAAUGGGGAAACCCAGUGUGUUUCGACACACUAUCAUUAACUGAAUCCAUAGGUUAAUGAGGCGAACCGGGGGAACUGAAACAUCUAAGUACCCCGAGGAAAAGAAAUCAACCGAGAUUCCCCCAGUAGCGGCGAGCGAACGGGGAGCAGCCCAGAGCCUGAAUCAGUGUGUGUGUUAGUGGAAGCGUCUGGAAAGGCGCGCGAUACAGGGUGACAGCCCCGUACACAAAAAUGCACAUGCUGUGAGCUCGAUGAGUAGGGCGGGACACGUGGUAUCCUGUCUGAAUAUGGGGGGACCAUCCUCCAAGGCUAAAUACUCCUGACUGACCGAUAGUGAACCAGUACCGUGAGGGAAAGGCGAAAAGAACCCCGGCGAGGGGAGUGAAAAAGAACCUGAAACCGUGUACGUACAAGCAGUGGGAGCACAGAGCAAUCUGUGUGACUGCGUACCUUUUGUAUAAUGGGUCAGCGACUUAUAUUCUGUAGCAAGGUUAACCGAAUAGGGGAGCCGAAGGGAAACCGAGUCUUAACUGGGCGUUAAGUUGCAGGGUAUAGACCCGAAACCCGGUGAUCUAGCCAUGGGCAGGUUGAAGGUUGGGUAACACUAACUGGAGGACCGAACCGACUAAUGUUGAAAAAUUAGCGGAUGACUUGUGGCUGGGGGUGAAAGGCCAAUCAAACCGGGAGAUAGCUGGUUCUCCCCGAAAGCUAUUUAGGUAGCGCCUCGUGAAUUCAUCUCCGGGGGUAGAGCACUGUUUCGGCAAGGGGGUCAUCCCGACUUACCAACCCGAUGCAAACUGCGAAUACCGGAGAAUGUUAUCACGGGAGACACACGGCGGGUGCUAACGUCCGUCGUGAAGAGGGAAACAACCCAGACCGCCAGCUAAGGUCCCAAAGUCAUGGUUAAGUGGGAAACGAUGUGGGAAGGCCCAGACAGCCAGGAUGUUGGCUUAGAAGCAGCCAUCAUUUAAAGAAAGCGUAAUAGCUCACUGGUCGAGUCGGCCUGCGCGGAAGAUGUAACGGGGCUAAACCAUGCACCGAAGCUGCGGCAGCGACGCUGAUGCGUUGUUGGGUAGGGGAGCGUUCUGUAAGCCUGCGAAGGUGUGCUGUGAGGCAUGCUGGAGGUAUCAGAAGUGCGAAUGCUGACAUAAGUAACGAUAAAGCGGGUGAAAAGCCCGCUCGCCGGAAGACCAAGGGUUCCUGUCCAACGUUAAUCGGGGCAGGGUGAGUCGACCCCUAAGGCGAGGCCGAAAGGCGUAGUCGAUGGGAAACAGGUUAAUAUUCCUGUACUUGGUGUUACUGCGAAGGGGGGACGGAGAAGGCUAUGUUGGCCGGGCGACGGUUGUCCCGGUUUAAGCGUGUAGGCUGGUUUUCCAGGCAAAUCCGGAAAAUCAAGGCUGAGGCGUGAUGACGAGGCACUACGGUGCUGAAGCAACAAAUGCCCUGCUUCCAGGAAAAGCCUCUAAGCAUCAGGUAACAUCAAAUCGUACCCCAAACCGACACAGGUGGUCAGGUAGAGAAUACCAAGGCGCUUGAGAGAACUCGGGUGAAGGAACUAGGCAAAAUGGUGCCGUAACUUCGGGAGAAGGCACGCUGAUAUGUAGGUGAAGUCCCUCGCGGAUGGAGCUGAAAUCAGUCGAAGAUACCAGCUGGCUGCAACUGUUUAUUAAAAACACAGCACUGUGCAAACACGAAAGUGGACGUAUACGGUGUGACGCCUGCCCGGUGCCGGAAGGUUAAUUGAUGGGGUCAGCGCAAGCGAAGCUCUUGAUCGAAGCCCCGGUAAACGGCGGCCGUAACUAUAACGGUCCUAAGGUAGCGAAAUUCCUUGUCGGGUAAGUUCCGACCUGCACGAAUGGCGUAAUGAUGGCCAGGCUGUCUCCACCCGAGACUCAGUGAAAUUGAACUCGCUGUGAAGAUGCAGUGUACCCGCGGCAAGACGGAAAGACCCCGUGAACCUUUACUAUAGCUUGACACUGAACAUUGAGCCUUGAUGUGUAGGAUAGGUGGGAGGCUUUGAAGUGUGGACGCCAGUCUGCAUGGAGCCGACCUUGAAAUACCACCCUUUAAUGUUUGAUGUUCUAACGUGGACCCGUGAUCCGGGUUGCGGACAGUGUCUGGUGGGUAGUUUGACUGGGGCGGUCUCCUCCUAAAGAGUAACGGAGGAGCACGAAGGUUGGCUAAUCCUGGUCGGACAUCAGGAGGUUAGUGCAAUGGCAUAAGCCAGCUUGACUGCGAGCGUGACGGCGCGAGCAGGUGCGAAAGCAGGUCAUAGUGAUCCGGUGGUUCUGAAUGGAAGGGCCAUCGCUCAACGGAUAAAAGGUACUCCGGGGAUAACAGGCUGAUACCGCCCAAGAGUUCAUAUCGACGGCGGUGUUUGGCACCUCGAUGUCGGCUCAUCACAUCCUGGGGCUGAAGUAGGUCCCAAGGGUAUGGCUGUUCGCCAUUUAAAGUGGUACGCGAGCUGGGUUUAGAACGUCGUGAGACAGUUCGGUCCCUAUCUGCCGUGGGCGCUGGAGAACUGAGGGGGGCUGCUCCUAGUACGAGAGGACCGGAGUGGACGCAUCACUGGUGUUCGGGUUGUCAUGCCAAUGGCACUGCCCGGUAGCUAAAUGCGGAAGAGAUAAGUGCUGAAAGCAUCUAAGCACGAAACUUGCCCCGAGAUGAGUUCUCCCUGACUCCUUGAGAGUCCUGAAGGAACGUUGAAGACGACGACGUUGAUAGGCCGGGUGUGUAAGCGCAGCGAUGCGUUGAGCUAACCGGUACUAAUGAACCGUGAGGCUUAACCUUACAACGCCGAAGGUGUUU